AAGAGGCCAAGUUGGCAGAUAGUUCAAUCGCUUUACAUUCUGGAAAUGCAAUGGCUGUGGAGCCUGAAAUGGUGUCACAUGCGGUGGCAACUAAUGUCGGGCUUCAGCGGAGUUCCUAUAAUGAACCGAAUUUCCUUCAAUUUGCUCCUGAUCUUAAUGUGAGAUUUCUGGCACCGGGUUCACCUAGUUCUAGUGUGCCAAUUGGUUCACCCCAGCGCCCUGAUUUAGCAUUGCAACUCUAAUAAUCAGCUUCCAUAUGAUGUGGCUUGUAUGUGCUAAUUGUAGUAUUAGGUCAAGUACGCCUGUAUAUGAUGAUAAGAUUUGGUCGAAAUUUACUUACUACAUUCUUCAUUGGAAGGUCGGUUGAGUAGUGGUUCCUCAAGAAGUCAUAGGAUCAGAUUGUAGGGGAGAUUUUGUAUAGAUUGAUAUAUCAAAUUCUUUCAUAGGGUUAAAAAAUUACAGAUUUAUAUACGAUAUCUAACAUGUUAUAUUUUGAGUUGUUAAUGAAUAUUGUUACCAAUACUACUACUGGUAUUACGUACGAGAUAUCAUUCAUGUCAUGAAUUAUGAAAUGUUCAUGUUUGGAGCAAUGAAGUAGUGCUUAAACUAGUUGAUGCAAAAUUGAGGGCAACUGAUACUGAAAACUUUGCCAAGGGAGUUUGAGUGAUGUUAUGUAAAUUGCAAUUAUAUAUACAUGUGCAUAUAUAAUUAUAUUAUAUAUGUUGAGAGCAUGUAUGCAGUUCUCUUGUUAGUUCUGUAUCAGUGUUAAUUUGUUUCCUUCCUCCGCUCCCACAUUGAGAUACCAGUCCAGGCAGAGAAUUUCUUGAAAAUAUAAUAUCAUAGUUUUCGUGAUCUUGUAUAAGUUGUCCUGGCAUAUUUCUAGUUGCAUCCUAGUUACAUAUGCUGUCCUCGCAUAUUCAUCCUUUAAGAGGUAAGGUCGGGGCAGUAGUAGUCAUUUUCCAAGAUCAAUAGUGAAGAGAAUUGUUUAUUUGAACAAUAGCAUGCAUUAUGUUAAAAAAAUCUCAAUCAUUCACUGUACAAUAAUGGCCAGGUUUGGAAAUAUAUUCUAUGCCGCCUAAAAUAGCCAUGGUGGCCACCUAAUGCUUGGCGUUUUUGCAUACAUCAGACAAUAGUGGAAUCUUAGUUUAGAGGGACUUCAAAGCCUCCCAUAUUUUUGUUUGGCAAACUGGAGCAGAGCCCUUUGGAAGAUUAUAGGAGUCUUAACUGUGUUGCGCUCACACCAUCUACAUGUAUCAUCAUUACUUGAGACCAAAUCUAGUUACAUCAUCUGUCCUAAAUCGUCUUGUUAUUUCAUGCAGUAAAGCUUUAAACUGCCAUUUACUUCGCAUGCGGAGAAGUAUAUUCUCAGCGCCGUACGUGACCUCUACCCUUUGAGUUUGAGCAUCCAAAUCUUGAGCAAAUUGGCCAGUAUUCUUUGUAAUUAUGGGUUGUAUAAUUGUCAGGGAUAAGCUGUUCUUAUGGAAUCUAAGGCUCUUUGAUCUUGGGAAGAGCUAUAGUUCGUCCUGACUUAAGACAUGCAGUUCUGCAUCACUUGUGACUCUUUCCAGGUCACCACCCCAGAGUUCUCUCCUCCUAUAAGACCUUCAUUACCAGACAUGCUAAACUUUGAAGGCUGGUUCGUUCCAUAACAACAGCUAUGACUUGAACCGGAACUCAGGCUACACGAGGAGCAAGGUGAAUUUGAAGUACAGCUUGGGUCCCGAAAUUACCAUCCUCAGCCAGCUUUGUGAUUCUUUUCAAGGUUGUGGGGCACGCUAAAAAAUAUUGAAAGGAAACCGGAAAGGACAUCAAAUUAUAGAGCAAUGAUAGCCAACAGUAUGCAAUUAUGUUCAUUAGUAUCCCAUACCAUGCUAUAUGACAGGGAUACUUACUGAAACACAUAGGUACCAAAUAAACCAGAAGGAAAAUAACAAGCCAACAUGGUAACAUUAACAUACAGCUUCUACUUUUUCUUUUUUUCUGUCUUCAACUUUCAACAGAAACUCCUUUUAAUCUAAAAUUAUUAGCUGUUUGUCUACCAAGCUUACACCACAACCAAAACAUCCAUUAACACUUAGCACCAAUGCUUUUUGCUUCAUCGUUUAGUCUUCCAGCAACAUAUUAGCGAGGAACCAGCAAAGUGAUUGUUUUUUCUGCCUUGCUACGCCUCUACUCUCUCUUUUUUCGUUUCCCCUUUGCAAGGUGAUGUUAUAAAAUGUUGUUGUUCAAAUUAUCUGCCUUAUGUGCUUGGUUAUGAUGGAACAAAUUUCCAGCUUGUGCUAUCUUGUUUGUUAGUCAAAACCUGAUGCAAUGAAAUGGAUGAAUACAAGAAUUGCUAAUUAUGAUAAGCUGUUGAUGCUUUUUGCUAAAGAUACAGAAAAGAGGGAUGGGGCUAAAGGGGGUCACUUGGGCAGCCCAAUAGGUGGCCGAGUAUCUGAUGGUAUCCCUUUGCAAGAUGUAGUUGGUGCAAGUAUGGAGGAAAAAGACACGAAUGAUACCAGCCAAGUUGGUUCGCAAGCACCAUCCCAGUCAACAACAUCAUUGAAACCGAAAAAAAAGUGAAAGGCGACAAGAGUUGAAGUAUUUGAAAGGGAGUUACAAGCAUAAGGGAAGCGAUUAAAGGUGUUGCAGAAGAAUGUUAUAGCCGAGAGAGGACAACCACGCGUUUACUCGGAGCAGGAAGUAUUCGCAGAAUUAGUGAACAUAGGUGUUGAAAUAUAGUUGCGGAACUUGUGGUAUAAGGCAUAUAUUUUCCUUAGUGCAAACGCUGGGAGGGUGAGAGCCGUUUUUGGUUGCUCAGCUGAGGAGCGAAAGGAAUUUUUAUUGCAGAUGAUGUAUACUAGUUCUGGAGACCCGGCAUAUUAAAAAUUUAUUAGCUAGUUAGGAUUCUUUCUUUCAUUAGGCUUGAAGAUGGGACGGCAUGUGUGCGUUUGCGAAAAGGAAGGGAUUUUGUACAUAAGAUAAGAUGAUUCAUAAUUUAUGAUAUGAUAGGGUAAAGCUAUUUUUACUUUUUAUUUGGUAUAUUAGUUGAAUACCACUACUAGUACAGAAUCUAAAUGGUUUUGAAAGAUACAACUUUGCCUCUUUGAAAAAUUCUAAAAACAAACUCUUUAAUAUCAAGUUUUCAUUAACUUUAUUGAGAGUUAAAUUCAAAGGUGACUGGUCGUAAUAAUUUAUAUGGAAGUGUGCUGAGAAUUGUUGCAUGUUGACAGUGUCCAAGAAGAGAAAAUGGUAAAUUGUGUGGUUGAAGGGAAAAUUUACAUGCCCUUGCACAAGUUUCAUGGUCCUUAAUGUAUAAACCUUGUGUGUUCUUCGUGUUGCCAGCUAUCCUUUUAAUUGGGAUGCUUGGUGGGUCAUGGUAUUGCUUAAGUACGUGUCUUUGAUGACUAUGGAAAGUCACACACACACACACACACACAUAUAUAUAUAUAUAUAUAUAUAAAUCCACCUAUGUUUGUUGUGAUGGGACUGUGCGAAGUCCUAUGUCAUAUGAUUUGUCAUAUGAUUAGUUAAAUAUUUUAACAAAACAUAAUCUUCUUCUAAGGCAAAGUAAAACGUGGUAUCUUUAAGGAUGAGAUGUGAAUUAUGUGAGGUAUACUUAUGCUUAAGUAUAAUAAUUACUCCCAAUUUAAAAGAGAGUUAUAAAAUAACAUUUCUUGAGAUAAAAUGUACAAUAUAUAAUUGUGUUGUAAGAUAUACAUAGUAAUUGAAUAAUGUAUCUAUAAAUUUAAAGAGUGCUGUGUUUGGGGAAAACACAUUAAGUGGAUUAAUGACGUAAAAAAGGUAUAUAUAAAGUAAAUUGUGGCCUACUUGUUAAGAUACAAUUGGCCAUGAUAGACUGUCAUUCCAUGUAUUGUUUUAUUAUUGACAAUUGAAUAAAACUUGAUGAAGAUGUCACGAAAUUUUUUUUGAAACUUUUAGAUUUUUUUUCUUAGAGUUAAAAAAUAUCAGUGAUGAUAUUCUAGCGAUCUUUCUAUAAUGUGAAGGUUUUAGGUGGACCAAAAAAGAUUUUUAGGUGAAGUUUUUAAUCUUUUCUUGAUGUUUGUUGUUUAUAGAUUUUCUUGUUACUAUUUCGAAUAUGGGUUUGGUUGGGAUUUGUAGUUUUUGAGGUAGGGCUUCUUUAUUUUGUAUUUCAUAGUGGGAUUUGGGAUAAUUUUGGUGAUAAUGGCUGGUAAGGGAAAAAAGAAGAAAAAUGUGAAAAAGAAAAGGAAAAAGCUACGAAAGUGAAGAAAGCAGAAAAAGAAAGGAAAAUAAGAAUCCUUAUAACGACUGAUAAAUUGGAAUGUACCAUUAGGGGAGCCGAGAUGCGAACAAUAUUGAAUUGUAGAAGUUUUUAGUACCCCGAGGAAGUAAUUGCCUCAGUGAGGUAUAAGCUACAACGCAAGGUGGUAGUAAAGAAAUUUUCUUCUAUUAUAUGUGUUUGAGUCAAGGUUUCAUCCUCUGCAUAUGUUCUUCGUUGAGGUGUUGAAUUAUUAUGGAUUCUGGGGCAAUCAGUAGAAAUAUUGUAGUGGAAUUAGAUAACUUACUUUAUACAUUGUCAAAAGCAUGGUGAAUUACGCUUUUAAAAAAUAUAUAUUAGCUGAGAAAUACUGGUGAAGUAUGUUGUUCUUCAUGGUAUUACGAGGAGAAAACUUAAUUUUGGACAAUAGAAAUCAUUUAUGAUAUUUAUAAUAAUAAAUUAUAAACUGAAUUAUUAUCCAUGUUUCAAGUAAGAUAAUCUAAAUUAUUUCCUAACUUUUUUACAAAACAAUCUUUUCGGCAGAAAAUUAUAUCAUUAUUUUAAAAUUUCAAAAAAAAAAAGUUUUGUUGGAUUUUAGACAGGUGUCGGCAGACGGAAUGGUUUGGACACUACUAGCGUAUAGACGUAUCGAUAAUACCAGAAAUCGAAAGCUUGUUUAGAGAGGAAAAAAAAAAAGGCGAAAAAGAAAAAAGCAAUGGGAGGUGAUAUUGGUGGUGAGAUAGCAGCGGAGACAAUGAAGAAGAGGAAGAAGAAGGGAAGGCCCUCUCUCUUAGAGCUUCAAAAACGCUCUCUCAAACAACAACGACUUCAGGAGCCGCAGCAACCGCAAUUGCUUCUUCAAAAUACCCCUAAUUCUUCUAUCAAUUCGAACCGCCGAUCCACUCGCCGCCACGCAAAUCUCAACGGUGGGUCCCCAGUUUCCGGAUCGACUUCCGGAGGAGACGACGACGACGACGAUGACCGCCUACAGAAGAAGCAUAAACCAUUGCUUGGCUUCAAUUCUUCUCGUACUGAUCAGCAUUAUCCGAUUCCUUCGGCGCUCAAUUCGGCCUCCUAUGGGUCCGAUUCGAAUGCGGAUGAUGACGAUCCCGACGCGUCACUCAAGCGUCACAAGUUUACCACCGUCAAGCCUGGAUCUGAUCAAAUGGUGAUUAAUCAUACAUUAAUAUAUAGAAUUCGCGAGUUUUUGAAACAGAAUCAAAAAAGGAUUUUCCUACUUUAUUUGGAUAUUUUAUCUUAGGGUUUAUAUUUUGGAAGUCGAAAAUAGCUUCUCGUGUGCCGAAAUUUAUGAUUGCAACGGAGAUGAACGAAUGAGUUUGACUAAGUCAUGUACCUUUUUUUAUUGGAUAUUAUUUGAUUUUCAGCAAAACUUCAAGUUUUUUAUAUUUUAUGUCUGUAGACUGUAAAGCUUCAAUUUUGUCUGUUCUUUAAUAAUAAGACUAAAAUGUUUUUUUUUUUUGGUACUUGCUUUGCAUUGUUGUAGCUUUUUACUGUAACUUUCCUCAGUGAUUCUUCAAUAAUCAACGCAAAUCUCUUUUAAUAUUUUUUUUUCAUUGAAUUUGGGAGUUAAAUAAAUAUAUGUAUUGACACGAGAGUUACCUUAUUUACAGGGAGAAAAGUUAUCGAAAGUGACGGACACUCUUCAUGGUAUAAAUCUAUCUGGGUUUUCAUUAGAAAAGGCAUUUCUGGGAUUCUUAGAAAAAAGAAGUGUUGGGUUUUGUUAACUAUAUUAAUUUUAUUUCAUAUAUAUGUGGACAGAGUCACCGGUGGAGUCUGGCCCCACCCCCUUGACGCCUUUGCCAGACAAAAAGUUGUUGGUAUUCAUUCUUGACAGGCUUCAAAAGUAUUUGUUAUUUUUGGUUCAUUUGAUUUUUUUUUUCUUAUCCUAUCUUCCGUUUGAUGGAAUUUGAUCGUUUUUACUUAAUCUACUUCCAGGAAAGACACUUAUGGGGUAUUCUCUGAACCAGUAGAUCCUGAAGAGGUGCAUUUUGUUUUUCAUUCUAGCAUAAAUCUAGCUUACUGAAAAGUGAAAUCCCUGUUCCUGAUAUAAUAUUGGAUUGGAUACAGCUUCCAGAUUACCAUGACAUUAUUGCACACCCAAUGGACUUUUUGACAGUCAGGAAAAAACUUGAUAAGGGAGCUUAUACUACCUUGGAACAAUUUGAGGUUUGUUUUGCAAGCAUUCUCUUUGCUAAUGUGGAUACAAUGUUCAUCUAUCUGUCUACCCUCAGACAUGGUGGAGAGGGAAGGCCGAGUAAGUUGUUUGACUGCAUUGCCGUCAAUGUUGAUUAAGUUUUUGAUGAUGUUUUCUGGAUUUCUCUGGUUGAUUUGUGUGUUUUUGUAGAAAAUGUAUAUGCUGAGUCAAGUUUGUGUUGUCAAUCAAGCAAGUCCCUGUUGAAUACCGGAGGCAUGCUAUGUCUUUUCAGAAUACUGUAGUAAUGUUGUUGGCUAUGAUGUUUUAGUUGUUCAUUUUGAGUGCAGUUGUUUGGGAUGGCAUUUUGGUCUCUUAUGUCUGAAAGGUUCUUUAAUUUGGUUUGAGGGGAUAAUUAAUUGUUCUACUUGCCUUUGUUUUUAAUGUUUAUACGAUAUUGAAUUUAAUUGGUACUGCCAAUGAUUUGCCCAUGAUUUGUGGAAUUUGAUUGCAGAACUUGUUUUGUUUAGCUUGGGAUCAUACAGCGUACUCUUCCCUAGCAGACAACUAUAUAUGCUGUGAGUUGCUUUUUGAGGUUAACUGAGAAGAUGAAAAUCCUAAUGAAAUGAUUUUCAAGUUUGUAUGAAUGCUCUGGACUCGUCCAGUGAGGAUAGUCUGUACAAGCAUGUUGUAACAGAACUUUGUUUUAGGCGAUUUAGUUUCCUGCAUAUGGUUUUCUGGCUAUAAUCUUGAUGUUUCUAGGACUGCAACUGAAAUUUGUAAGUUUAUUUGUGCAGAGAGAUGUUUUUCUAAUAUGCUCGAAUGCAAUGCAGUAUAAUGCACCAGAUACAAUUUACUUUCGACAGGUUUGUCGAGGUCUCAAUUGUAUUAACUCCUUCAUUAUGAUACUCUGGUUUCUGUUAUAUUAAACAUCUGGAUUGGUUGGGUAGGCACGAUCAAUGCAAGAGCUGGCCAAAAAGGACUUUGAGAAUUUGAGGCAAGAUAGUGAUGAAGGUGAACCACAACUGAAAGUUGUGAGGAGAGGAAGGUCACCUGAAAAGAGCCUCAAAAAGUCGUUAGUUUCAGCAUCAUCUAUUGACCAUGUUGGUUCUGAGUACUCUGAUGCAACUCUAGCUGCUGGACGAUAUACUUCCAGCCUUUCCAACACUUACAAUUCCCACAAGCUACGGCCUGCUGAUACAUUCAUCAGGUCCUCCUGGGGUUCUCCUAGCAAAGAAAAUCAUGCCAUUUGUUUGUCUGAAUGGGAGAAUGAAUUUCCAGGUUUGGUAUUUUUCUGACUUCAUAUAAAUAUCCUUGAGUCUUUAAACUUUUUGAUGUGAAAUGUUAACUACAUAUUUUCUAUAUUUCAUAUUGAGCUAUUUUUCUCUCAUUUUGUAGCUUCUGUUGUGAGGGCUGUGAUGAAGUUUGGGAUGAAACAUUUUGCAGUAGAUGAGAACGGGCGUGACACCUACAACCACUCAUCGACUUCUGGACAUGAGCAACGUACCUUUUCCACCUUGGUUGGAGAAUUGAAGCAACUAAUUCCGGUGUGUUUUAUGUUUGUAUAAUGGCAAUAACAGUUAUUAAUGCAUUAGUUAGAAGAUUAUUGUAUGAGCUGUAUAGCUGGAAUGUAUGAUCGACCUUAGACUCAUUGAGUGCAGGUAAGGAAUCCUAAACUUUUUGUUUAUUAAUAAACUGCAUACAAAAGUUGUGGUGCAGGUAGGUUUCCGCUGGUAAUUUGAUAUGUUUAUAUAUCUAGCCAAAAGGGUGUUUGAAUAUUCUGACAACUAGUGUUUAUGAGGGAACAAUACAAAACUAUCCAGAUCAGUGGCAGAAUAGAAUGCUCAAUCCCUUAUAUUGACUAAUUCUUUUUAUCUCCCUCGAUUUUAUUUUGGUCAAUUGUAUUGUUUAUCAGGCUGGUUUGACUGCAGAAAAUGGUAACCCUUUUUUCCCCUUUCAUUGUCUAUCAGGUUGGUUUAAGUGCAGAAAAUGGUUAUGCUACAAGCUUGGCACGUUUUGCUGCAAUUCUUGGACCAGUUGUUUGGAAAAUUGCUACAAGGAAAAUUGAAAGUGUUUUGCCUAGUGGACUCAAGUUUGGUCCUGGAUGGGUUGUAGAAAAUAGGACAGUUGAGCAGCCACAAUGUUCCUUUUCUGAUAAGCAGAGAUCUCCGAAUUCUCUAUCUGAUAACCCUCCUGGCAGACUUUUAUCUACAGCUACUUCUGGUUCAAACUCCAUUGCGGCAAGUAGAUUUCCUUUACAAGGUAGAGAAGACAUGGAAGCUGUUAGAGGCCUAACUUCUCAAAAUGACUCGACUUUGGAACCUUCUCAUCAGUUUCAGCAAAGUCUUGUACUGCACUCAGGUAUCAAUGGUUCUAUUGGUGGGUCUGGGUUUGGGUAUUCCUCUCAAACGGAGUUGGUAACACAGUGUGUAAAUUCCUUGUCUGAAGAGACUUCAGUGCCAACUCCAACGCACGUCAUGGUUUUGGGUGCUAGUGAUUUUCUUCCAAAAGAGGCCAAGUUGGCGGAUAGUUCAACCGCUUUACAUUCUGGAAAUGCAAUGGCUGUGGAGCCUGAAAUGGUGUCACAUGCGGUGGCAACUAAUGUCGGGCUUCAGUGGAGUUCCUAUAAUGAACCGAAUUUCCUUCCAUUUGCUC
RNAcentral lists this long non-coding RNA (9026 nucleotides) under Gossypium raimondii (Peruvian cotton). Its description in RNAcentral is "long non-coding RNA (GRAI_LNC007012)". Lineage: Eukaryota; Viridiplantae; Streptophyta; Magnoliopsida; Malvales; Malvaceae. The record is from RNAcentral.